Molecule: ribosomal RNA, 253 nt
Filed under: uncultured bacterium
Lineage: Bacteria
Description: partial 16S ribosomal RNA
Rfam family: Bacterial small subunit ribosomal RNA
Source: RNAcentral
UACAGAGGUCCCGAGCGUUGUUCGGAUUCAUUGGGCGUAAAGGGUGCGUAGGCGGUCUGCUAAGUUUGAUGUGAGAUCCCGGGGCUCAACCCUGGAAUGGCAUUGAAUACUGGUGGACUAGAGUACUGGAGAGGAAACUGGAAUUUACGGUGUAGCAGUGAAAUGCGUAGAGAUCGUAAGGAAGACCAGUGGCGAAGGCGAGUCUCUGGACAUUUCCUGACGCUGAGGCACGAAAGCCAGGGGAGCAAACGGG